Molecule: long non-coding RNA, 1849 nt
Filed under: Equus caballus (horse)
Lineage: Eukaryota; Metazoa; Chordata; Mammalia; Perissodactyla; Equidae
Description: lncRNA (ENSECAG00000046952.1)
Source: RNAcentral
AAACAGGGAAGCUGGGUCUCAUAAGGUCAGUUUGAUUUUCAUUAAUGUCUGUAAAGUGAUCUGGUUUUGAAAGGGAGUUGACACGUACCCACUAAAUGAGGAAUAUGAAAACUCUGAGGAUCUGAACAUGGUGAUGGGUCCAUCCUGUCCCCAGGCUCACGUGGAUGUCACUGAAACAUGGAAACUCAUCAGUCAUAGGAGACAUAUAAAAACAAGCCUGGAUUUUGAGAAGCUAUUUUUAAAGCAUGUAUGCAUGUGUUCCUUGUUAAAUAAAUCUGGUGAGAUAAUGAAUGGUCUUUGUUUCUAUUUAAGUUUUGUUAAUCAAAAAUCUGGAUUCAUGAUUUGCCCCCUUGACAAUUUCCAAAAGCAUGGCCUUCCUUAUACAGAUCUCAAAAAUUCCUCUAGCCUGGGCCCUUGUCCUAGGCUCAGGACUUUGGCUUUCUUCAGGAGCCCUGAGAAAGGUCACACAGGGAGUGUAGUGGGAACAAGGUGACGACCCCUGAGUGGAAAACAGCGCAGGCUUAGCGACAGAGCAGUGGUGGCGGCCCCCAGAGGCCCGGGAAGAUGAAAGCUGCCUGUCGAUUUGAUGAUGGCGCGGCUCGCACAAAGCUGGGAGUAGGGUAGUCACUGAGGCUGACUGUGCUGAGUAAGUUACAGAACAACUGGCUUCAGGUCUCCUUUUGACCUCUUGUUCUGUCCUGAACCCCGUCAUUCAGAGAUGUAAGAUUUGUACAGUCAGUUCUGUAAUUAUUUCAAAUAGUAACUCUACAAGUCUAUGUUUCACUUGCAAAGUUUCAAAAUGCUUUUGUAAACAGUCUUCAGCUGGGUUCCCCAGAGGUAGGCUCAGGAGAAGGCUCACGUGCAAGUGAUUUACGAUGGACUCCCACAAGAAAGCAGCAAGGAGGUGGGAGAAGCAGCUCCAGCAGCCCAGGGACCCUCCUCCAAAGGAGCCUUGGGAAGCAAAGCACUCAGAAACCGGGGGAAGGGCACACAGAACCGGAGAGAGGGCUCCAAGGCGGUCUGGGUGCGGCACUGAGGGUGUCUGCUACACGCGGCUGGCUCACUGGGUCCCUAACCAACUCGGGGAGGCAGGAGAGAUUAGAUCCUGCUUGCACAGAAUGGGGAAGCCAAGAAUCCAAGAACAUCGAGGUCUUCCUGGAGUUCCUUGUUACCCGUGAUCCAAAGGAGCAAGGGCGGCCCUGGCCCGCAGCAGAGGCAGGGAAGCGAGCAGGCCUCCCUGGCAGCCUGGCCCGUGUCCCUGGACCAGCCCUCGUGCAUUCCGAGCAGCAGGGCCUGGACACUUGCUGAAUCCUUUGAAGCUGGAGAGCUGCUUGGGUGGGGGCUGUGUCUGCGUGGGGCACAUUUUUUUUCUCAUUGCCAAGAAUUUCCGCUUCCAACGGCAUUCGUCUUUCCCAGGAACUCCCUUCAGCAAAAAGAGAAAAGAAAAAGGAAACAGAAGAAACCCUCCCUGAACAAGGAGACUUUCUUUCUCUGUCAGUCCCUGAUAAGAAAAGUGUUCUGCCAAUCGUGGCAUCCUGUUCUGAACCUGCCCUGCUCCUCUCGCCCUGGCCAGGCCCUCGGGCUUCUCUGGGUGUGAUUCACGACAGUGGGGGCUCGGUGGCCUUCGGGUGAUUGCUCCAAGGUCAGCCGUAGAUGAACUUUUGGGACUUGGGGACAUGAAUUCAAGCUGUCAGCCAAGUGUGCAAAAUUGCUCCGCUGAGGCUGAUUAGCUUCUUCUCUCAAGCACUCUCUGAAUCUCUUUCUCCCAUCGUAAUAACAACUUAGACACAUUGCCGGCUAGACAUUAACAGAGAUAGAAAUGACCAUACCAUCUUUUCUAUUCUAAGAU